AACGAACGCUGGCGGCAGGCCUAACACAUGCAAGUCGAGCGAGCAUUUCGGUGCUAGCGGCGGACGGGUGAGUAACGCGUGGGAACGUGCCCUUUUCUGCGGAAUAGUCCUGGGAAACUGGGGGUAAUACCGCAUACGCCCUUUUGGGGUAAGAUUUAUCGGAGAAGGAUCGGCCCGCGUUGGAUUAGGUAGUUGGUGGGGUAAUGGCCCACCAAGCCGACGAUCCAUAGCUGGUUUGAGAGGAUGAUCAGCCACACUGGGACUGAGACACGGCCCAGACUCCUACGGGAGGCAGCAGUGGUGAAUCUUAGACAAUGGGGGCAACCCUGAUCUAGCCAUGCCGCGUGAGUGAUGAAGGCCUUAGGGUUGUAAAGCUCUUUCAGCUGGGAAGAUAAUGACGGUACCAGCAGAAGAAGCCCCGGCUAACUCCGUG
This 433-nucleotide ribosomal RNA is filed under the name uncultured bacterium. RNAcentral's name for it is "partial 16S ribosomal RNA". It matches the Rfam family "Bacterial small subunit ribosomal RNA", at positions 29 to 507 of the family's 1533-position model. The record is from RNAcentral.